GGGCACCACCAGGAGUGGAGCCUGCGGCUUAAUUUGACUCAACACGGGAAAACUCACCCGGCCCGGACACUAGGAGGAUUGACAGACUGACUAGCUCUUUCUUGUUUCAGUGGGUGGUGGUGCAUGGCCGUUCUUAGUUGGUGGAGCGAUUUGUCUGGUUAAUUCCGAUAACGAACGAGACUCUAGCCUACUAGUUAGCCGGCCCGGUCGUUAUGCGCCCGGGCAGCGAGCUUCUUAGAGGGACAGACGGCGAGUGAGCCGUACGAGAUAGAGCAAUAACAGGUCUGUGAUGCCCUUAGAUGUCCGGGCUGCACGCGCGCUACACUGAAGGAAUCAGCGUGUGUUCCCUACCCGAAAAGGUUGGGAAACCCGUUGAACCUCCUUCAUGAUGGGGAUUGGGGAUUGCAAUUAUUCCUCAUGAACGAGGAAUUCCCAGUAGGCGCGAGUCAUAAGCUCGCGUCGAUUACGUCCCUGCCCUUUGUACACACCGCCCGUCGCUACUACCGAUCUAGUUAUUUC
Molecule: ribosomal RNA, 519 nt
Filed under: uncultured eukaryote
Lineage: Eukaryota
Description: bacterial SSU rRNA
Rfam family: Eukaryotic small subunit ribosomal RNA
Source: RNAcentral